GCCCUAUUACAUGCAAGUCGAGCGAACUGAUUAGAAGCUUGCUUCUAUGACGUUAGCGGCGGACGGGUGAGUAACACGUGGGCAACCUGCCUGUAAGACUGGGAUAACUCCGGGAAACCGGAGCUAAUACCGGAUAACAUUUUCUCUUGCAUAAGAGAAAAUUGAAAGAUGGUUUCGGCUAUCACUUACAGAUGGGCCCGCGGUGCAUUAGCUAGUUGGUGAGGUAACGGCUCACCAAGGCAACGAUGCAUAGCCGACCUGAGAGGGUGAUCGGCCACACUGGGACUGAGACACGGCCCAGACUCCUACGGGAGGCAGCAGUAGGGAAUCUUCCGCAAUGGACGAAAGUCUGACGGAGCAACGCCGCGUGAGUGAUGAAGGCUUUCGGGUCGUAAAACUCUGUUGUUAGGGAAGAACAAGUACAAGAGUAACUGCUUGUACCUUGACGGUACCUAACCAGAAAGCCACGGCUAACUACGUGCCAGCAGCCGCGGUAAUACGUAGGUGGCAAGCGUUAUCCGGAAUUAUUGGGCGUAAAGCGCGCGCAGGCGGUUUCUUAAGUCUGAUGUGAAAGCCCACGGCUCAACCGUGGAGGGUCAUUGGAAACUGGGGAACUUGAGUGCAGAAGAGAAAAGCGGAAUUCCACGUGUAGCGGUGAAAUGCGUAGAGAUGUGGAGGAACACCAGUGGCGAAGGCGGCUUUUUGGUCUGUAACUGACGCUGAGGCGCGAAAGCGUGGGAGCAAACAGGAUUAGAUACCCUGGUAGUCCACGCCGUAAACGAUGAGUGCUAAGUGUUAGAGGGUUUCCGCCCUUUAGUGCUGCAGCUAACGCAUUAAGCACUCCGCCUGGGGAGUACGGUCGCAAGACUGAAACUCAAAGGAAUUGACGGGGGCCCGCACAAGCGGUGGAGCAUGUGGUUUAAUUCGAAGCAACGCGAAGACCCUUACCAGGUCUUGACAUCCUCUGACACUCUAGAGAUAGAGCGUUCCUCUUCGGGGGACAGAGUGACAGGUGGUGCAUGGUUGUCGUCAGCUCGUGUCGUGAGAUGUUG
RNAcentral lists this ribosomal RNA (1052 nucleotides) under Priestia flexa. RNAcentral describes it as "bacterial SSU rRNA". It matches the Rfam family "Bacterial small subunit ribosomal RNA", at positions 46 to 1077 of the family's 1533-position model. The record is from RNAcentral. Lineage: Bacteria; Bacillati; Bacillota; Bacilli; Caryophanales; Bacillaceae.